AGUGAACGUUGGCGGUAGGCCUAACACAUGCAAGUCGAACGGCAGCACAGUAAGAGCUUGCUCUUACGGGUGGCGAGUGGCGGACGGGUGAGGAAUACAUCGGAAUCUACUUUUUCGUGGGGGAUAACGUAGGGAAACUUACGCUAAUACCGCAUACGACCUACGGGUGAAAGCAGGGGAUCUUCGGACCUUGCGCGAUUGAAUGAGCCGAUGUCGGAUUAGCUAGUUGGCGGGGUAAAGGCCCACCAAGGCGACGAUCCGUAGCUGGUCUGAGAGGAUGAUCAGCCACACUGGAACUGAGACACGGUCCAGACUCCUACGGGAGGCAGCAGUGGGGAAUAUUGGACAAUGGGCGCAAGCCUGAUCCAGCCAUACCGCGUGGGUGAAGAAGGCCUUCGGGCUGUAAAGCCCUUUUGUUGGGAAAGAAAAGCAGCAGGUUAAUACCCCGCUGUUCUGACGGUACCCAAAGAAUAAGCACCGGCUAACUUCGUG
Molecule: ribosomal RNA, 492 nt
Filed under: uncultured bacterium
Lineage: Bacteria
Description: partial 16S ribosomal RNA
Rfam family: Bacterial small subunit ribosomal RNA
Source: RNAcentral